This 833-nucleotide ribosomal RNA is filed under the name Arthrobacter sp. RNAcentral's name for it is "bacterial SSU rRNA". It matches the Rfam family "Bacterial small subunit ribosomal RNA", at positions 33 to 877 of the family's 1533-position model. The record is from RNAcentral. Lineage: Bacteria; Bacillati; Actinomycetota; Actinomycetes; Micrococcales; Micrococcaceae.
GCGCUGCGGCGUGCUUAACACAUGCAAGUCGAACGAUGAUCUCCAGCUUGCUGGGGGGAUUAGUGGCGAACGGGUGAGUAACACGUGAGUAACCUGCCCUUGACUCUGGGAUAAGCCUGGGAAACUGGGUCUAAUACCGGAUACGACCGUCCCGCGCAUGCGGUGGUGGUGGAAAGCUUUUGCGGUUUUGGAUGGACUCGCGGCCUAUCAGCUUGUUGGUGGGGUAAUGGCCUACCAAGGCGACGACGGGUAGCCGGCCUGAGAGGGUGACCGGCCACACUGGGACUGAGACACGGCCCAGACUCCUACGGGAGGCAGCAGUGGGGAAUAUUGCACAAUGGGCGAAAGCCUGAUGCAGCGACGCCGCGUGAGGGAUGACGGCCUUCGGGUUGUAAACCUCUUUCAGUAGGGAAGAAGCGAAAGUGACGGUACCUGCAGAAGAAGCGCCGGCUAACUACGUGCCAGCAGCCGCGGUAAUACGUAGGGCGCAAGCGUUAUCCGGAAUUAUUGGGCGUAAAGAGCUCGUAGGCGGUUUGUCGCGUCUGCUGUGAAAGACCGGGGCUCAACUCCGGUUCUGCAGUGGGUACGGGCAGACUAGAGUGAUGUAGGGGAGACUGGAAUUCCUGGUGUAGCGGUGAAAUGCGCAGAUAUCAGGAGGAACACCGAUGGCGAAGGCAGGUCUCUGGGCAUUAACUGACGCUGAGGAGCGAAAGCAUGGGGAGCGAACAGGAUUAGAUACCCUGGUAGUCCAUGCCGUAAACGUUGGGCACUAGGUGUGGGGGACAUUCCACGUUUUCCGCGCCGUAGCUAACGCAUUAAGUGCCCCGCCUGGA